ACUAAAUCUAGCCCGACAUCUUUCUAAACUCAACUACCAUUUCUCAUUAAACUAAACCAUUCAUACUUAUAAAAGUAUAGGAGAUAGAAAUUAUUGACCGGAGCUAUAGAAUCAGUACCGCAAGGGAAAGAUGAAAGAAGAAACUAAUAGUAAAAAGAAGCAAAGACUAAAACUUUUACCUUUUGCAUAAUGGAUUAACAAGAAAAAUCUUUGCAAAAAGAAUUGAAGUUAAGAACCCCGAAACUAGACGAGCUACCUAUGAGCAGCCAAUAUGGGCCAAUUCAUCUAUGUUGCAAAAUAGUGAAAUGACUUGUAGGUAGAGGUGAAAAGCCAAUCGAGCCUAGUGAUAGCUGGUUGUCCAGACAAGAAUCUUAGUUCAACUUUAAGUUUACCUAAAGAAUCAGAAAUCUAAAUGUAAGCUUAAAUGUUAAUCUAAAGAGGUACAGCUCUUUAGAAUCAAGGAUACAACCUUCAUUAGAGAGUAAAAAACAUAAAUCCCCAUAGUAGGCCUAAAAGCAGCCAUCAAUUAAAAAAGCGUUCAAGCUUAACUCUUACUUCCAAACCUAAUACGUACCUUCUAAUUGAUCUCCUAAAUCAAAACUGGACUAAUCUAUAAUACUAUAGAAGAAAUUAUGUUAAUAUGAGUAACUAGAAUUCACUUCUCCUUGCAUAAGCUUAUAUCAGAUCGGAUAUCCCACUGAUAGUUAACAGCCCAAUAACACUAAACAAACAAUUAUUCCGUUAUUAGAUAUACUGUUAACCCAACACAGGCAUGCACAAAUCUUAUAAAAGGAAAGAUUAAAAGAAGUAAAAGGAACUCGGCAAACACGAAUCCCGCCUGUUUACCAAAAACAUCACUUCCAGCAUAAAAAGUAUUGGAAGCAUCGCCUGCCCUGUGACUUCAUGUUUAACGGCCGCGGUAUCCUGACCGUGCAAAGGUAGCAUAAUCACUUGUUCUUUAAAUAAGGACUAGUAUGAAUGGCUGGACGAGGGUUCAACUGUCUCUUACCUCUGAUCUGUGAAAUUGACCUCCCUGUGAAAAGGCAGGGAUGAUACAAUAAGACGAGAAGACCCUGUGGAGCUUAAAUUAACUAAUCAACGCAAUCAAAAAUAAACCCCAAUAGGGGAUAACAAUCAACGCUGAUUGAUUAGCUAUUUUGGUUGGGGUGACCUCGGAGUAAAAACCAACCUCCGAAUGAUACUAACCUAGACUCGACCAGUCCAAGUUAAAACUCAUUAAUUGACCCAAAUAAAUUGAUCAAUGGAACAAGUUACCCCAGGGAUAACAGCGCAAUCCUAUUCUAGAGUCCAUAUCGACAAUAGGGUUUACGACCUCGAUGUUGGAUCAGGACAUCCAAAUGGUGCAACCGCUAUUAAUGGUUCGUUUGUUCAACGAUUAAAGUCCUACGUGAUCUGAGUUCAGACCGGAGCAAUCCAGGUCGGUUUCUAUCUAUUCUAAUAUUUCUCCCAGUACGAAAGGACAAGAGAAAUAGGGCCCAUGAAACACUCACGCCCUAAGUGCCUAUAGGUGAACUAAUCUCAACCUAAAACAACAUUACAACCCAAUCCUAGACAAGGAUUU
Molecule: ribosomal RNA, 1582 nt
Filed under: Ratufa bicolor melanopepla
Lineage: Eukaryota; Metazoa; Chordata; Mammalia; Rodentia; Sciuridae
Description: 16S ribosomal RNA
Rfam family: Bacterial large subunit ribosomal RNA
Source: RNAcentral